UUCCGGAUAACGCACAUAUGCUGGAAUGCUUUCUGCGUAAAAUGGAUUCGUCUGCCCAAGGAUGGGUCUGCGGCCUAUCAGGUAGUAGUGGGUGUAAUGUACCUACUAGCCUACGACGGGUACGGGUUGUGAGAGCAAGAGCCCGGAGAUGGAUUCUGAGACAUGAAUACAGGCCCUACGGGGCGCAGCAGGCGCGAAAACUUUACAAUGCGGGAAACCGUGAUAAGGGGACACCGAGUGCCAGCAUCAUAUGCUGGCUGUCCGGGUGUGUAAAAUACACCUGUCAGCAAGGGCCGGGCAAGACCGGUGCCAGCCGCCGCGGUAACACCGGCGGCCCGAGUGGUGAUCGUGAUUAUUGGGUCUAAAGGGUCCGUAGCCGGUUUGGUCAGUCCUCCGGGAAAUCUGACAGCUCAACUGUUAGGCUUUCGGAGGAUACUGCCAGACUUGGAACCGGGAGAGGUAAGAGGUACUACAGGGGUAGGAGUGAAAUCUUGUAAUCCCUGUGAGACCACCUGUGGCGAAGGCGUCUUACCAGAACGGGUUCGACGGUGAGGGACGAAAGCUGGGGGCACGAACCGGAUUAGAUACCCGGGUAGUCCCAGCCGUAAACGAUGCUCGCUAGGUGUCAGGCAUGGCGCGACCGUGUCUGGUGCCGCAGGGAAGCCGUGAAGCGAGCCACC
Molecule: ribosomal RNA, 680 nt
Filed under: uncultured archaeon
Lineage: Archaea
Description: bacterial SSU rRNA
Rfam family: Archaeal small subunit ribosomal RNA
Source: RNAcentral